GAGCCUCCAUUCGUUUCCCACCAAAACAAUCAAAACCCUAAUUUCCCCCUCAUUUUCUCGAGAAACAAACAGAUUCCCGAUCACCCAAUGGCUCGCACGAAGCAGACAGCAAGAAAAUCCACCGGAGGGAAAGCCCCAAGGAAGCAACUGGCGACCAAGGCAGCCAGGAAGUCAGCUCCAGCCACCGGAGGAGUGAAGAAGCCCCACCGGUUCAGGCCAGGAACGGUGGCGUUGAGAGAAAUAAGGAAGUACCAAAAGAGCACAGAGCUGUUGAUAAGGAAGCUACCAUUUCAGAGGCUGGUGAGAGAAAUAGCCCAAGAUUUCAAGACAGACUUGAGGUUCCAAAGCAGCGCGGUAGCAGCACUUCAAGAGGCAGCAGAGGCGUACCUUGUUGGGUUGUUUGAGGACACCAACUUGUGUGCUAUUCAUGCUAAGAGGGUCACUAUCAUGCCUAAGGACAUUCAGCUGGCCCGUAGAAUUAGAGGGGAGAGAGCUUAAACAACUUAGCUACUGAUGUUGAGUUUCAGACUGCCAUGUCUCUGUCUCUGUUAAGAUUUCAGAGUGUCAUGUUAGAUUUGGGGUUCGUUUUCGUUGUAAAUCUUUUCUGGAUUUAAAUGAGAGAUUUAGAUGUUUAUUUUGAAUCCGUUGUGUUCGAUGAUUUGUCUUAGAUUCAAGCAACUUUAGUAGUUAGGAACUCGCGAGGCUUGCAAGGGUAUCAAUAGUUUGAAGCAGGAGAUAUGGCAGCACAAGUGUCAUUUGAAGGCUUUUUAGAGGUUUAAUUGAAAGAGAUUUAUCAUUUAUUAUU
Populus euphratica (Euphrates poplar) is the source of this 805-nucleotide RNA transcript. It is a transcript of the gene named histone H3.2, with no coding region annotated. The record is from RefSeq and is a predicted model, not a curated record. NCBI's taxonomy places the organism in Eukaryota, Viridiplantae, Streptophyta, Magnoliopsida, Malpighiales, Salicaceae. The transcript is spliced from 2 exons.